Molecule: ribosomal RNA, 258 nt
Filed under: uncultured bacterium
Lineage: Bacteria
Description: partial 16S ribosomal RNA
Rfam family: Bacterial small subunit ribosomal RNA
Source: RNAcentral
AAUCCUGGCUCAGGAUGAACGCUAGCUACAGGCUUAACACAUGCAAGUCGAGGGGCAUCAGUUUGGUUUGCUUGCAAACCAAAGCUGGCGACCGGCGCACGGGUGAGUAACACGUAUCCAACCUGCCUCAUACUCGGGGAUAGCCUUUCGAAAGAAAGAUUAAUAUCCGAUAGCAUAUAUUUCCCGCAUGGGUUUUAUAUUAAAGAAAUUCGGUAUGAGAUGGGGAUGCGUUCCAUUAGUUUGUUGGGGGGGUAACGG